GGCGCACGGGUGCGUAACGCGUAUAGAACCUACCUUUUACAGAGGAAUAGCCUUUAGAAAUGAAGAUUAAUGCCUCAUGGUAUUGUAGACUGGCAUCAGUUUAUAAUUAAAGAUUUAUCGGUAAAAGAUGGCUAUGCGUCCUAUUAGUUAGUUGGUAAGGUAACGGCUUACCAAGACAGCGAUAGGUAGGGGUCCUGAGAGGGAGAUCCCCCACACUGGUACUGAGACACGGACCAGACUCCUACGGGAGGCAGCAGUGAGGAAUAUUGGACAAUGGAGGAGACUCUGAUCCAGCCAUGCCGCGUGUAGGAAGAAUGCCCUAUGGGUUGUAAACUACUUUUAUACAGGAAGAAACACUGGUAUGUAUACCAGCUUGACGGUACUGUAAGAAUAAGGACCGG
RNAcentral lists this ribosomal RNA (401 nucleotides) under uncultured Polaribacter sp. Its description in RNAcentral is "bacterial SSU rRNA". It matches the Rfam family "Bacterial small subunit ribosomal RNA", at positions 97 to 496 of the family's 1533-position model. Lineage: Bacteria; Pseudomonadati; Bacteroidota; Flavobacteriia; Flavobacteriales; Flavobacteriaceae. The record is from RNAcentral.